UUGGUUAAGUUAGAAAGGGCGCACGGUGGAUGCCUUGGCACUAGGAGCCGAAGAAGGACGGGACUAACACCGAUAUGCUUUGGGGAGCUGUACGUAAGCGUUGAUCCAGAGAUUUCCGAAUGGGGGAACCCACUAUCUUUAGUCGGAUAGUAUCCUUACGUGAAUACAUAGCGUAAGGAAGGCAGACCCAGGGAACUGAAACAUCUAAGUACCUGGAGGAAGAGAAAGAAAAAUCGAUUUCCUGAGUAGCGGCGAGCGAAACGGAAAGAGCCCAAACCAAGAAGCUUGCUUCUUGGGGUUGUAGGACACUCUAUACGGAGUUACAAAAGAAAGUUAUAAAUGAAGCGGUCUGGAAAGGCCCGCCAAAGACGGUAACAGCCCGGUAGUUGAAAUGGCUUUCCCUCCAGAGUGGAUCCUGAGUACGGCGGAACACGUGAAAUUCCGUCGGAAUCCGGGAGGACCAUCUCCCAAGGCUAAAUACUCCCUAGUGACCGAUAGUGAACCAGUACCGUGAGGGAAAGGUGAAAAGCACCCCGGAAGGGGAGUGAAACAGUUCCUGAAACCGUGUGCCUACAAGUAGUUAGAGCCCGUUAAUGGGUGAUAGCGUGCCUUUUGUAGAAUGAACCGGCGAGUUACGAUUUGUUGCAAGGUUAAGCGGAAAAAGCGGAGCCGUAGCGAAAGCGAGUCUGAAUAGGGCGCAUAAGUAACAGGUCGUAGACCCGAAACCAGGUGAUCUACCCAUGUCCAGGAUGAAGGUAAGGUAAUACUUACUGGAGGUCCGAACCCACGCACGUUGAAAAGUGCGGGGAUGAGGUGUGGGUAGCGGAGAAAUUCCAAUCGAACUUGGAGAUAGCUGGUUCUCUCCGAAAUAGCUUUAGGGCUAGCCUCGAGGUAAAGAGUCAUGGAGGUAGAGCACUGUUUGGACUAGGGGCCCUUCUCGGGUUACCGAAUUCAGAUAAACUCCGAAUGCCAUGUACUUAUACUCGGGAGUCAGACUGCGAGUGAUAAGAUCCGUAGUCGAAAGGGAAACAGCCCAGACCACCAGUUAAGGUCCCCAAAUAUAUGUUAAGUGGAAAAGGAUGUGGGGUUGCUUAGACAACCAGGAUGUUGGCUUAGAAGCAGCCACCAUUGAAAGAGUGCGUAAUAGCUCACUGGUCGAGUGACCCCGCGCCGAAAAUGUACCGGGGCUAAACAUAUUACCGAAACUGUGGAUGAACCUCUUUAGAGGUUCGUGGUAGGAGAGCGUUCUAAGGGCGGUGAAGUCAGACCGGAAGGACUGGUGGAGCGCUUAGAAGUGAGAAUGCCGGUAUGAGUAGCGAAAGAAGGGUGAGAAUCCCUUCCACCGAAUAUCUAAGGUUUCCUGAGGAAGGCUCGUCCGCUCAGGGUUAGUCGGGACCUAAGCCGAGGCCGAUAGGCGUAGGCGAUGGACAACAGGUAGAGAUUCCUGUACCAGUGCUAAUUGUUUAACCGAUGGGGUGACACAGAAGGAUAGGGAAUCGCACGAAU
RNAcentral lists this ribosomal RNA (1506 nucleotides) under Listeria monocytogenes. RNAcentral's name for it is "partial 23S ribosomal RNA". It matches the Rfam family "Bacterial large subunit ribosomal RNA", at positions 1 to 1499 of the family's 2925-position model. The record is from RNAcentral. Lineage: Bacteria; Bacillati; Bacillota; Bacilli; Caryophanales; Listeriaceae.